CUGGCAGAGAAGCUGGGACUCUCAGCAGGUUGCAGUUCAUGCUGUGAGGCCUGGACUGCCUCCACUUGCAGCCUUCUUCAGACCUGAUACAGUGCUCAGGAACUGAGCUGGCCAAAUUUCAUCACCACUUGGACCUACCACAUGGUGAGGAUGAGACUUCUGGUGGAUUCACAGUCACUGAUCUCAGCGGAACUUCCUAAAGCCACUUCGGCGGGAGACGUUCUUUGAAAUUCAAGCAUCCGGACAUCACCUUAAUAUGCAAGAUUCCUAAGAAGUACUUCCUUCCUUCCCAG
Non-coding RNA from Saimiri boliviensis boliviensis (Bolivian squirrel monkey), 293 nucleotides. Lineage: Eukaryota; Metazoa; Chordata; Mammalia; Primates; Cebidae. The record is from RefSeq and is a predicted model, not a curated record.